Molecule: ribosomal RNA, 18 nt
Filed under: Cladonia foliacea
Lineage: Eukaryota; Fungi; Ascomycota; Lecanoromycetes; Lecanorales; Cladoniaceae
Description: partial 28S ribosomal RNA
Source: RNAcentral
CAGGAGGGAUACCCGCUG